This 850-nucleotide ribosomal RNA is filed under the name uncultured bacterium. RNAcentral's name for it is "bacterial SSU rRNA". It matches the Rfam family "Bacterial small subunit ribosomal RNA", at positions 44 to 885 of the family's 1533-position model. The record is from RNAcentral.
AUCGCNGCUAUCAUGCAAGUCGUGGGGCAGCGCAGUGUAGCAAUACAUGGGCGGCGACCGGCAAACGGGUGCGUAACACGUACGCAACCUUCCCGUUACUGGUGAAUAGCCCAGGGAAACUUGGAUUAAUACACCAUAUUAUAUUGACUAGGCAUCUGGUUAAUAUCAAAGCUUCGGCGGUAACGGAUGGGCGUGCGGUUGAUUAGUUAGAUGGUGAGGUAACGGCUCACCAUGGCAGCGAUAGGUAGGGGCCCUGAGAGGGGGAUCCCCCACACUGGUACUGAGACACGGACCAGACUCCUACGGGAGGCAGCAGUGAGGAAUAUUGGACAAUGGGCGCAAGCCUGAUCCAGCCAUGCCGCGUGCAGGAAGACGGCCCUAUGGGUUGUAAACUGCUUUUAUACGGGAAGAAUAAGGGACACGUGUGUCCUGGUGACGGUACCGUAAGAAUAAGGACCGGCUAACUCCGUGCCAGCAGCCGCGGUAAUACGGAGGGUCCGAGCGUUAUCCGGAAUUAUUGGGUUUAAAGGGUCCGCAGGCGGGCAAUUAAGUCAGGGGUGAAAUGGUGCGGCUCAACCGUAGCACUGCCCUUGAUACUGGUUGUCUUGAGUCAUAGUGAAGUGGCCGGAAUAUGUAGUGUAGCGGUGAAAUGCAUAGAUAUUACAUAGAACACCGAUUGCGAAGGCAGGUCACUAACUAUCGACUGACGCUGAUGGACGAAAGCGUGGGGAGCGAACGGGAUUAGAUACCCCGGUAGUCCACGCCGUAAACGAUGGAUACUAGCUGUCCGCUGCCUUGAGCAGUGGGCGGCCCAGCGAAAGUGAUAAAGUAUCCCACCUGGGGAGUACGU